GCCCGGCUCGUCCCGGGCCCAGCCUCCCGCCUCCCCGGUGGGCCGGGGCCUCUCUGUGCCCGAUUCCCCCCCGUCCGCGCUUACUGUUCUGCAACCGUUUUCCCCAAACUGCUGGGUAAAGCUUGAGGUGGAGGAAGAUGGCCCCGGGGCGCGCGGGACCCACCGGGGACGGUGAGCACGGCUGUGAAGGCGGUCUAGCCUCUGGAGACUGCACCUAACCUUGAGGAAGAGUCCAGAGAAGAAAAAUGGCCCCUGAGCCAAGAGAAGCAAAGUCUCAGGUGUCUGUGACAUUUGAGGACGUGGCUGUGCGCUUUACUCGGGAUGAGUGGAGAAAGCUGGAUCUUCUCAGAGAAGCUUGUACCACAAGGUGAAGCUGGAGAACUACAGCAAUCUGGCCUCACUGGAUAAGGAGAUUCCCCUAUAGAUCCGGAAUUCAGAAAUGGAGAGGUCACAGUUCCUCCUCCCUUGAACAGCUAUGACCAUCAUGAGAACUCAGCCGAGUUCCAGCCAAGGAUUAUAUCCAUUGAAUCUCGAUGAAUCUUCAAACUUUCUCUUGCAAGUCUAGGAUCAUCUGUCCUAUGUAUGAGAAUGGGGGAGGGGGCCCGAUGCUGAUAAUUAUCCCCCUUCAAUACCCAAGUUCACAUCAGAAGUUUCUUCACAGUUACAGCAGCAUUUUCUGUGAGCAGAGGUUCCCUCAACCUUCUCCUUUGGCCUAUGUUUAUCUUCCCACUUCUUUUUUCCAGCCAGUUGAAGACUAUAUACUCCUUCUUUGAGAAGGAAUCAGUGUUUCCUUUUUAAAAAGCUACUUAAUACAUAAUCUUUCCCAAAGAUAGCUGCUUUUUAAGCUCAAUUAAAUUAACUGAAAGCUCUGGUUGCAUGUUUA
Molecule: long non-coding RNA, 883 nt
Organism: Dipodomys spectabilis (banner-tailed kangaroo rat)
Lineage: Eukaryota; Metazoa; Chordata; Mammalia; Rodentia; Heteromyidae
Exons: 3
Source: RefSeq, a predicted model, not a curated record